Molecule: ribosomal RNA, 253 nt
Filed under: uncultured bacterium
Lineage: Bacteria
Description: partial 16S ribosomal RNA
Rfam family: Bacterial small subunit ribosomal RNA
Source: RNAcentral
UACGGGGGGGGCAAGCGUUGUUCGGAAUUACUGGGCGUAAAGCGUGCGCAGGCGGUGAUGUAAGACCGAUGUGAAAUCCCCGGGCUUAACCUGGGAACUGCAUUGGUGACUGCAUUGCUAGAGUAUGGCAGAGGGGGGUGGAAUUCCACGUGUAGCAGUGAAAUGCGUAGAGAUGUGGAGGAACACCGAUGGCGAAGGCAGCCCCCUGGGCCAAUACUGACGCUCAUGCACGAAAGCGUGGGGAGCAAACAGG